GAUGAACGCUGGCGGCGUGCCUAAUACAUGCAAGUCGAGCGAACAGACGAGGAGCUUGCUCCUCUGACGUUAGCGGCGGACGGGUGAGUAACACGUGGAUAACCUACCUAUAAGACUGGGAUAACUUCGGGAAACCAGAGCUAAUACCGGAUAAUAUAUUGAACCGCAUGGUUCAAUAGUGAAAGACGGUUUUGCUGUCACUUAUAGAUGGAUCCGCGCCGCAUUAGCUAGUUGGUAAGGUACCGGCUUACCAAGGCAACGAUGCGUAGCCGACCUGAGAGGGUGAUCGGCCACACUGGAACUGAGACACGGUCCAGACUCCUACGGGAGGCAGCAGUAGGGAAUAUUCCGCAAUGGGCGAAAGCUUGACGGAGCAACGCCGCGUGAGUGAUGAAGGUCUUCGGAUCGUAAAACUCUGUUAUUAGGGAAGAACAAAUGUGUAAGUAACUAUGCACGUCUUGACGGUACCUAAUCAGAAAGCCACGGCUAACUACGUG
This 497-nucleotide ribosomal RNA is filed under the name uncultured bacterium. RNAcentral's name for it is "partial 16S ribosomal RNA". It matches the Rfam family "Bacterial small subunit ribosomal RNA", at positions 28 to 507 of the family's 1533-position model. The record is from RNAcentral.